GCUGAUCUAUAUAACGGCGACCUUGCUGCCCCAGCUCAGUGCAGCCGCCAAGCUCAUGGCCAUCUCCGCAUCUCCAUUUCCUCGGUCACUAUCGGCCAAACGCAACCAGAGCACACCCACCCAUGGGAGCCUGUUGGUGGAGCCCAUGCAGUUUCGCAUCUGCACAAGGCUGGCCUCCUGCAGGCAACCCUUCAAGGCUGCCCUUUCCUGGGUCAUCGUAUGUUCAGCGUGAGAGAUGCCAUUCCAAAGGUUCAGAGCCGUGUGGCCUGUGGACUUGGGGGUGGGGGACACACCCCCUCCUUCCCUCAACCUCCCUCCCACCGCCUGCUGCCAAGGGCCGCCAAGAGAAAUGUGGGCAAACCACACGGACCACCCCAGGCCUCCCAAGGGCACUUGGGGGUGAUGCCAGCCCCAGGAAGGAGUCCUCAAUAAAGAUCCAAGAUACCAAGCUCACCCCAGGACCUCUGUGCCUGCAGCUACUUGUGCCUGGAAUGCUUCCCUUCAUUUCCCU
Molecule: long non-coding RNA, 511 nt
Filed under: Homo sapiens (human)
Lineage: Eukaryota; Metazoa; Chordata; Mammalia; Primates; Hominidae
Description: HSALNT0267942
Source: RNAcentral